Long non-coding RNA from Nematostella vectensis (starlet sea anemone), 1909 nucleotides. RefSeq lists it as uncharacterized. The transcript is spliced from 2 exons. The record is from RefSeq and is a predicted model, not a curated record. NCBI's taxonomy places the organism in Eukaryota, Metazoa, Cnidaria, Anthozoa, Actiniaria, Edwardsiidae.
UAGAUUGUGAUCCCGUGCUCAAAGUUUCCGAGAGCGCAGUUGAUACAUUUCCUCAUCCUGAAAUGCGUCGACUAAAUGAACUCCCUGGUGUGCAUAUAGAAACACGUAGGCAACACUCUCCCACGAAAUCUACUGACGGGUUUUGCAUGAGGCAAGUGAGGUACUCGCCUCGGUAAAAUUUUGAUGUUUAGUGUUUCACGAUUGACAAGUAUGAGAUUUUGUUGGAUUUAUCACCCAGUGGCUAGCUUUGCCUCGGUAAAAUUUUGAUUCUGACGACUACGGGCAUGUUUUGAACAUUGAGAUCAAUUUAUCUAGGAUAACCAAAGGGUUUGUAGAAGUAGGAAACAUCAAGUUCAAGAGAGGAGGGUGUAAAAGGCCUUCGAGUUAUUUGAACAUUAUUGUUUAUGUUAUAUUAGUCAAUUAUUCUUUUUUUUUUUUGUCGUAGAAGUUCCAUUGUUCAUUUGCCUUCGACACUUACACAGUGACCACUUUUAUGAAAGACGACGAGAUACAUAAUUUGGCAAUCGAGAAAGUCCUUUUAAUACCGUAUGCUCGUCCUUGUACCCAAGGCGCUGGUUUUUUGUUUGUUUCAUUGUUUUUAUUUUGUUGUUGUUGUUUUCUUGGGGAUAGGAGUAGGGUUCGCAUUGCAGGGAGUGGUCAAUAGAGAAGAGGCGUUUAUAUCAGAAUGGGCUAUCAUUUCAAACUCGCCGACAGGCUUCGUAUAAUUGCUCUUCCAAUUUUUGUCUGGGGGCUCUUAAAAUCGAGGAAGAAGCACACAUGACCCCACUUCUUCUCUCUAGACCAAUGUUGUUAAUAUUACUCGUCCCCUGCGCCUUUCUGUAUAUCAUUUUCUUGUUAUUCUCUUUCUUUUGUCUCUGUCAUUUAUUCUAUUUCAUGUUAUUUGCUAUUCGACUUUAGCAACCAAGAGCAUAAGUGACGCCAGAAAUAUGAAGCAUAAGAAAAAAAAAACACUUCUGCCACAACUUCAGUUUUCCUAAGGCAAGUGAUUUUAGCUGAAGUAAUAAGUCAGUGACGUACGGAGCUCCAUCAGCCCUGCAGGGUGCAAUGACGGAUCCCAGUGACGUCUUUACGACACGUUUUUACGGCACUUCACUGUACAAGGAAAGUAUCUGAGUGUUGGGUAAUCACACCAGCGUUUUGACGCCCACGUGCAAGGUGGUUUGGCUAUGCCCCUGCUUGUAGAUGAUCUAGUUUUUUUUCACGUUCACAACAUAUAAUUCAGUAAUAGGAUAUCCACAAAAAUUAUUGAUUUGGUCUUCAAAAUGUCUGAUACGUUUCUUUUGUAUUAUAGUCGAGGAUGCUUACAAAAAUGAUGAGAGAGGGAAAUGAUAUUGAUAGAGGCCAAAUCUGUUCGCCCAUGAAAACUUCCUGCGAUUUUCAAAAGCUAGCAGGCGUAAAGAAGUACGAGGUAAUAGCUCUUUUCAAAGCAGCUGAUCCACCGCCUCCCACACAUCAGGCGCACACAGGGACACUAGAGAUACAGAUACUAAAAGGUAUCGGUCGUUCAAACUGAAUUGCAGUAAGAAGAUAACAGGAACAAACUCUCAAUCAAGCAAUAUGAUCUCGCAAAAAAUGAGUUUCUGUUGCGUGGCUUUCGUGGUCUUCCUCUCAUGUGUUUCCGUGAAAGGACAGUUUACAGCAUGCAUGGGUAAUCUGGGGAAACGGUUGAUGGAUUUAAAGGAGGAAAGACCUGCCUUAGCGGUCUUAACUCGACGAAUAUCUUUCGAUAGUGGAUCCAAAUCAAGAGAGAACAGGCCAAACGGGUUAUCAUCCUCUACUCAACCGAGACGGUAUACAACCGAGGGCGAGAAACAAGCACGAAAAAUGGCGAAACGAAUUUAUUGACUAAUCUAUUAAGUACCCAUUGAUAUAAAAGCCAUAAUUUGUA